This 348-nucleotide ribosomal RNA is filed under the name Triticum aestivum (bread wheat). RNAcentral's name for it is "partial small subunit ribosomal RNA". The record is from RNAcentral. Lineage: Eukaryota; Viridiplantae; Streptophyta; Magnoliopsida; Poales; Poaceae.
AUGUCCAGGCUAGGGAUGCUAGAGAGAACUGGUGCUCCGUUGGAGAAGCAUGUUCAGGCCCCAGUACGCGGCGCAAGAGCGGUAGUGUUCGAGAGCUCUGGCGCCCAAGGAUCUGCUUCGUCUCAGGCUAGUGCAGAUGACGCUGUUGUGGGGGAUUCUGGAGGCAAAGAUGAGGUCGCUGAGGCAACAUCUGGAUGGACUAGAAGGUACGUACUUGCAAAAAUUAGUCAUUCACAGUUACCAAAUAAAACACAGUUACCAAAUAAUGUAUGUGGGUUGAAUGUUGAUAAGAAUAUACAUGCAUUUCCCCUCCGUUGGUUAGUAUUCUGUGUGUUUGUUAAUUGCUGA